GCUUAUUCUGAGUUUAACAGUCCACAGCCUCACUCUGGACACUCUCUCAUGCCACGUGAAGGAACUCAACACCGUUUUCCUUUUCCCUCCAGUUAUCAGCAGGGGAGAGUACUUAGAGGUCUGCUUUCCCAGACUGGGAUGGACAGCUGGACCCCCCCAUCACGCAUGGGCACCUCUCCUAAUUCCAGCCUUCACCACGUCCCAUGCUUUAGGAAAACAGCCUCAGAACUCACCUCUCUGCAGCCAGUCUUGCCUUCCUGCAAUCUGUCCCCACAAUGCAGACAGAGGGACCCUUCAAAUUAAACAUCACAGUGUAUCCCUGCAGGCCUCAGAGCCCAUCGUGAACUUCCUGAGCACUGCAGACUACCCGGACACUCCAUCUGUACUGAGACUGUCCUUCUCAUUCCCCAGAUCCUGCUGGGUGGGCGGCUGUCAGCUCUUAGCUAUGUGUGCCCUACUGAAGUGUGGGUCCCCUCAUCAGACAUCACACAUUGGGGGCAGCCUACUUCAACAGCUGGCCAAUACAUGGGCGAGGAAGACAAAGGUGUAAUGGUCAGCCCCUCCCCUUCCUUCAGGACAGCUCUCCAGGGCCACCCCAGCUCCUGCACCCCUGAUGGACUCUACAGUGAUCACACUGCAGUCCCACCUUCUUCUGCCAAGCCCUGCCUCCCUCCUCCUCCUCCACAGGAGAUAGCUCUAAGAGCUCAACUCAACACACAGAGGCAGAAAGUAGGAAAGGAACUCAGCCAGGCUCACAGAUGAGCCCGUGGCUACACCAGAUUCACAGGCACAGAGGGAUCAGCAGAGUCAGUGUUUACAGGACGGUGGAAGAUUGUGACCAAGAACAGACCCUGGGCCAGGCCAGCUUGUGUGGUGGGACUGAGCAGGGCAAUCAGUCAGCUGCUCCACUCGCCGACUGGACAUGGGGACCACUCGGCAAUGAUCACCAUUACUGCUGUCCUCUGUGGACAUUCCCAUGUAGCAGGUAGGGUCUUCAACACCUCUAUGCACUUCCACAUGACAGAGAGAGGGUGCAGGUAUCAUAGCAGGCCUGCCUGACAAUGACCCCCGUCUCCCACUGCACAGUCAACAUCAGUGGAAAAUGUUGCAUCUGCCUUUUUUGUAGAUGGGCCUGUACCUGGGUGAAGCUGGCACACAGAUCUUAGGCCUAUGCAAUGAGAACAUUGAAA
Molecule: long non-coding RNA, 1190 nt
Filed under: Homo sapiens (human)
Lineage: Eukaryota; Metazoa; Chordata; Mammalia; Primates; Hominidae
Description: HSALNT0144730
Source: RNAcentral